AUUGAACGCUGGCGGCAUGCUUUACACAUGCAAGUCGAACGGUAACAGGUUAAGCUGACGAGUGGCGAACGGGUGAGUAAUGCAUCGGAACGUGCCCGGUCGUGGGGGAUAACGCAGCGAAAGCUGCGCUAAUACCGCAUACGAUCUGAGGAUGAAAGCGGGGGACCGUAAGACCUCGCGCGAUCGGAGCGGCCGAUGGCAGAGUAGGUAGUUGGUGGGGUAAAGGCUCACCAAGCCGACGAUCUCUAGCUGGUCUGAGAGGACGAACAGCAACACUGGGACUGGGACACGGACCAGACUCCUACGGGAGGCAGCAGUGGGGAAUUUUGGACAAUGGGCGAAAGCCUGAUCCAGCAAUGCCGCGUGCAGGAAGAAGGCCUUCGGGUUGUAAACUGCUUUUGUACGGAGCGAAAAGGCUCUCUCUAAUACAGGGGGCUCAUGACGGUACCGUAAGAAUAAGCACCGGCUAACUACGUGCCAGCCGCCGCCGUAA
Molecule: ribosomal RNA, 493 nt
Filed under: uncultured bacterium
Lineage: Bacteria
Description: partial 16S ribosomal RNA
Rfam family: Bacterial small subunit ribosomal RNA
Source: RNAcentral